This 497-nucleotide ribosomal RNA is filed under the name uncultured bacterium. RNAcentral's name for it is "partial 16S ribosomal RNA". It matches the Rfam family "Bacterial small subunit ribosomal RNA", at positions 28 to 507 of the family's 1533-position model. The record is from RNAcentral.
GAUGAACGCUGGCGGCGUGCCUAAUACAUGCAAGUCGAGCGAACAGAUGAGGAGCUUGCUCCUCUGACGUUAGCGGCGGACGGGUGAGUAACACGUGGAUAACCUACCUAUAAGACUGGGAUAACUUCGGGAAACCGGAGCUAAUACCGGAUAAUAUAUUGAACCGCAUGGUUCAUUAGUGAAAGACGGUUUUGCUGUCACUUAUAGAUGUAUCCGCGCCGCAUUAGCUAGUUGGUAAGGUAACUGCUUACCAAGGCAACGAUGCGUAGCCGACCUGAGAGGGUGAUCGGCCACACUGGAACUGAGACACGGUCCAGACUCCUACGGGAGGCAGCAGUAGGGAAUCUUCCGCAAUGGGCGAAAGCCUGACGGAGCAACGCCGCGUGAGUGAUGAAGGUCUUCGGAUCGUAAAACUCUGUUAUUAGGGAAGAACAAAUGUGUAAGUAACUAUGCACGUCUUGACGGUACCUAAUCAGAAAGCCACGGCUAACUACGUG